UGAUAUUAUGAAUCAUGAGUCGAUAAUAAAUAUGGUUUUUUAUCAGAAAUUUUUUUUUAGUAUCUAUUAGCUUAGGCAGCUCGUGCUGAUAACGUGUUAGAAAAGAAGAAGAAGAGGAAGAUUUGUGUGUAUUAUUCCAAUGAAUGAGAGGUCCUUUAUAAAGGAGUAUAAGGUUAGGGUUUCACAAAGCAUCUACAGGAUAAUUCUAGAAUAUUCUAUUCUAGAAGGAUCUAGAAGAUGGGCCUUAUAAUGGGCAUCCAUCUAAUAUUCAUAACAGUUAUAUCAAAUUAUAAUUAUAUCAAAAAU
Molecule: small RNA, 306 nt
Filed under: Arabidopsis thaliana (thale cress)
Lineage: Eukaryota; Viridiplantae; Streptophyta; Magnoliopsida; Brassicales; Brassicaceae
Description: ATSL081690
Source: RNAcentral